GUAGGGUGCGAGCGUUAAUCGGAAUUUACUGGGGGCGUAAAGCGUGCGCAGGCGGUUGUGCAAGACAGAUGUGAAAUCCCCCGGGGGCUCAACCUGGGGAAUUGCAUUUGUGACUGCACAGCUAGAGUGUGUCAGAGGGGGGUAGAAUUCCACGUGUAGCAGUGAAAUGCGUAGAGAUGUGGAGGAAUACCGAUGGCGAAGGCAGCCCCCUGGGAUAACACUGACGCUCAUGCACGAAAGCGUGGGGAGCAAACAGGAUUAGAUACCCUGGUAGUCCACGCCCUAAACGAUGUCAACUAGUUGUCGGGUCUUAAUUGACUUGGUAACGCAGCUAACGCGUGAAGUUGACCGCCUGGGGAGUACGGUCGCAAGAUUA
RNAcentral lists this ribosomal RNA (376 nucleotides) under uncultured organism. RNAcentral's name for it is "partial 16S ribosomal RNA". It matches the Rfam family "Bacterial small subunit ribosomal RNA", at positions 527 to 896 of the family's 1533-position model. The record is from RNAcentral.